UUGAGCCUUAUGUCCUGAAAGGGACACGUAGGGUUCUUAAGGGGGAAAGAGACCGCGAGGUCUCCUACCUACCUGAC
This 77-nucleotide non-coding RNA is filed under the name Acetivibrio alkalicellulosi. The record is from RNAcentral. Lineage: Bacteria; Bacillati; Bacillota; Clostridia; Acetivibrionales; Acetivibrionaceae.